RNAcentral lists this small RNA (785 nucleotides) under Pan troglodytes (chimpanzee). RNAcentral's name for it is "retained intron". Lineage: Eukaryota; Metazoa; Chordata; Mammalia; Primates; Hominidae. The record is from RNAcentral.
AAUUCUGGAUGGCAUGGGUCAUGGAGCAAAUAAACUAUACUUAGGCUACUGAGUUUCACAAAGCUAUCUGGUUUUAUGUUACUGUGUUAUUCAGAUUCAUCUUAAAUUGAAAUUAUCACAAAAUAUUCAUUUGCAUUUUCAUUAUUGGGUAUAGUCUACUUAUUUUUUCAUCAAAGCAUUUAAAUGUUGUAUUUGUUUGUUUCAGGACUCAUGCCCGUUGCACAGCAGCCGGUUUAUUGUGCUUCAAAGCAUGGCAUAGUUGGAUUCACACGCUCAGCAGCGUUGGCUGCUAAUCUUAUGAACAGUGGUGUGAGACUGAAUGCCAUUUGUCCAGGCUUUGUUAACACAGCCAUCCUUGAAUCAAUUGAAAAAGAAGAAAACAUGGGACAAUAUAUAGAAUAUAAGGAUCAUAUCAAGGAUAUGAUUAAAUACUAUGGAAUUUUGGACCCACCAUUGAUUGCCAAUGGAUUGAUAACACUCAUUGAAGAUGAUGCUUUAAAUGGUGCUAUUAUGAAGAUCACAACUUCUAAGGGAAUUCAUUUUCAAGACUAUGAUACAACUCCAUUUCAAGCAAAAACCCAAUGAACAGCUUAUGUGUUAGCCAUAGCUGAAAAUAAGCACAAUAGCUUAUAUUCAGAUCCUAUCUUCAUUUGAAUAUAGCUUUUAAAUGAAAUGUUACAGUUUGAAGUUUUCCUUCAUGCACUUGGUGAUAAACGUUUUCUAAAUUUUUAGUUAAGUAUAUGGAUAAAAAGUUAUGAACUAUUAAAAAUGUGAUGUGGACCAAA